AUUGUUCUUGGCCUUUUGGCCAAGAUCAAGUGUAGUAUCUGCUCUUACCAGUUUAACAUCUGACAGAGCCUCUACAUGAGGACAAUGUAUUACAUGAGUUUUUGGAGCAGGGAGGUGGAAGAGGAGCUUGCUCCGUCCUUACCACAUAUCCACCUGGCAUUGCAGUACCUCCAGGAACAGUGCACCAAUA
RNAcentral lists this small nuclear RNA (190 nucleotides) under Castor canadensis (American beaver). Its description in RNAcentral is "U2 spliceosomal RNA (ENSCCNG00000024156.1)". It matches the Rfam family "U2 spliceosomal RNA". From Rfam's summary of the family: U2 is a small nuclear RNA (snRNA) component of the spliceosome (involved in pre-mRNA splicing). Complementary binding between U2 snRNA (in an area lying towards the 5' end but 3' to hairpin I) and the branchpoint sequence (BPS) of the intron results the bulging out of an unpaired adenosine, on the BPS, which initiates a nucleophilic attack at the intronic 5' splice site, thus starting the first of two transesterification reactions that mediate splicing. Lineage: Eukaryota; Metazoa; Chordata; Mammalia; Rodentia; Castoridae. The record is from Rfam by way of RNAcentral.